ACGCUCGACACCUACUGGAGGCAGCAGUGGGGAAUAUUGCACAAUGGGGGAAACCCUGAUGCAGCAACGCCGCGUGAAGGAAGACGGUUUUCGGAUUGUAAACUUCUGUUCUUAGUGAAGAUAGUGACGGUAGCUAAGGAGCAAGCCACGGCUAACUACGUGCCGGCAGCCGCGGUAAUCUGAGCGGGCUGGCAAGGC
RNAcentral lists this ribosomal RNA (198 nucleotides) under uncultured bacterium. RNAcentral's name for it is "partial 16S ribosomal RNA". It matches the Rfam family "Bacterial small subunit ribosomal RNA", at positions 328 to 539 of the family's 1533-position model. The record is from RNAcentral.